GAAAAGAAACCAACCGGGAUUGCCUCAGUAACGGCGAGUGAAGCGGCAAGAGCUCAAAUUUGAAAGCUGGCUCCUUCGGGGUCCGCAUUGUAAUUUGCAGAGGAUGCUUCGGGUGCGGCCCCUGUCUAAGUGCCCUGGAACGGGCCGUCAGAGAGGGUGAGAAUCCCGUCUGGGAUGGGGUGUCCGCGCCCGUGUGAAGCUCCUUCGACGAGUCGAGUUGUUUGGGAAUGCAGCUCUAAAUGGGUGGUAAAUUUCAUCUAAAGCUAAAUACUGGCCGGAGACCGAUAGCGCACAAGUAGAGUGAUCGAAAGAUGAAAAGCACUUUGAAAAGAGAGUUAAAAAGCACGUGAAAUUGUUGAAAGGGAAGCGCUUGCGACCAGACUCGCCUCCAGGGUUCAGCCGGCAUUCGUGCCGGUGUACUUCCCUGGGGGCGGGCCAGCGUCGGUUUGGGCGGCCGGUCAAAGGCUCCCGGAAUGUAGUGCCCUCCGGGGCACCUUAUAGCCGGGAGUGCAAUGCGGCCAGCCUGGACCGAGGAACGCGCUUCGGCACGGACGCUGGCAUAAUGGUCGUAAACGACCCGUCUU
RNAcentral lists this ribosomal RNA (584 nucleotides) under Aspergillus parasiticus. RNAcentral describes it as "LSU rRNA". It matches the Rfam family "Eukaryotic large subunit ribosomal RNA", at positions 56 to 655 of the family's 3401-position model. The record is from RNAcentral. Lineage: Eukaryota; Fungi; Ascomycota; Eurotiomycetes; Eurotiales; Aspergillaceae.